Molecule: long non-coding RNA, 1576 nt
Filed under: Gallus gallus (chicken)
Lineage: Eukaryota; Metazoa; Chordata; Aves; Galliformes; Phasianidae
Description: long non-coding RNA NONGGAT002205
Source: RNAcentral
GCAGUUACACCAGCAGUACCCCGUCCCACCUAACUCCUCUGUGAGAAGAACAUCAAAUUGUGCCAUGCAUUGGUUUAGGGAAUAUCUUGUGGGAUAUGGGUCUGUUUUCUGGGCAGCACUGAAGUGCUACAGAAACCUAAUAUAUCCCAAACGAAACUUAAAGCAGGGUCUAGAGACACCUGUGCACAAAUAGGGGUGCGGUGCAGAACCCCAUGGGGCUCAGCAGCCCCUGCCCAAGGCAGGGAGGGGACUUGGGGACGUGGGGACACGAGGAUGUGGGGGCCCUGUGCUUACCUGAUUUCCGCAGUGUGCCCCUGGGGAGAUCAGCGGCCCCGUGCUGCCCCGUGUCCCAUGACAUGGGGCCAGGCGGCUGCUUCUGCCUUCUGUGUUCGCUCUGCUGGCCUUUGGGUCUGUGAGGCUCCCCAGCUCUUGCCUGGUCUCUCCGGUGGGGCGAGGACGGAGGCUCACAUGGAUGCCACCUCCCUGCCGCCCCACGGGGACCCCACAGACCCCAGGAGCUGCUCCCUUUGCUCUUCACUGCCGGCUGAUGUUUCCCCAGAAAAUCAACAAGCCGGUGGGUUUUCUCACCCCCGCAAAGAGAAGAGCUCUGAGUGUGCACAGCCACUGAGGGGUUGUGCCACUGCUCCACGGAGGGCGAUUUCUCCCGAGUGUGCCUUAAACCACGCUCCCAGAGAAAUCAGAUCGGCCCAGAGGAAGCCGCACGCCCACUCUCUUUAGCAAAGCACUGCAACAGCAAAGCCCGGCACCAGGGCAACCGCUCGUGUUAUCGUGAUCGUUCCGGCACGUUGCGACACCACUGCGCCAGCACCACGCUGUCCUGGGGGCAAGGGCACGGGGGGAGUGCAGGGUGGGAGCAGCCUGGCCCUGUGCCCAGGGGCUGUCCUGGCACUGGGGGAUGCGGAGAUGGAGAAGGGAGAGGAGUAGAAGUGGCCCAGCAGUCCCUUUGGGCUCUUGCAGCUGGGAGUGAUCCAGACCUUGGUGAAAUCAUCCACUGGAAGAAACUUCUGAGGAUUAGUGAGACUUUUUCCCAUCUGUGAUGUAAACGCACAGCAAUCUGCUGGGCUGAUUGUUUGCUGCAAUCCCUGCCAAGCUGGUGCACAUGCUCGCCGAGAUGAUCCCACUUGCUUUUUAAGGAGAAACACAGAGAAAAUGGGCAAAGCAUCCCAACAUAGCAUGGCUUCUGCCUCCCAUUGGCUGUGGUUUGGGCUCUUCUGUCUCAUAGUGAUGCUCAGUAAGGAGUUUGGCUCUGCACAUUCUCUGCCCACCUCACAGCAGCACAGCGCUGUUUUGCAGUUGGGAGCAGCUGUGGCAUCGUGCAGAGGGAUGGGGCUGCCAUGCAGGGUCCCCAUGCUGCAGCCUGACAACCCCUCAUAGGGACCCAAUGUUGCUUCAGGGGGGUGCAGGAUGCAGGAGUGACGUGGGACAGCCGGAACCCUAACCCUGCUCCCUUCUCCAGGAGGUCACAUACCUGCCUGCAGGUGCUUGGGUUCACCACCCUGAGCUUGUGUUACUCCUUGUGCCUGCCCAUGGUCAUUCUCACUAUCAUGUUGCAAAA